Molecule: long non-coding RNA, 272 nt
Filed under: Gossypium barbadense (sea-island cotton)
Lineage: Eukaryota; Viridiplantae; Streptophyta; Magnoliopsida; Malvales; Malvaceae
Description: long non-coding RNA (GBAR_LNC018895)
Source: RNAcentral
GGAGCCACCAUCCACGGUUCUUGAGCUCCGUGUUCUUCAUCAGAUGCAUUGAUAUCUUCAUUUUGCUCCAUAUCGGCUAACUCAGCAAAUAAGUGAAUCGGUGCAUUAUUGUCACUCCCAUUCCCACAGUAGAGAUCAAUCAUUGUCUCCACGUCUUUGUCGUUUACAAGUUCCAUUUCGACGAAUUUGACCGGAUUUGUCGAAACUGGAAACUUGUAGAAAAUUUUUGAUAUCCUUCUCCCACAACGUCUAAGAAUUUUUGCAUUAAUCAU